Molecule: long non-coding RNA, 368 nt
Filed under: Crocodylus porosus (Australian saltwater crocodile)
Lineage: Eukaryota; Metazoa; Chordata; Crocodylia; Crocodylidae
Description: lncRNA (ENSCPRG00005016594.1)
Source: RNAcentral
AAUUGUUUUCAGAGUAAACAUUAUUUCUAAUUACAAUUUUCCAUUUUGUUUUACUAGGGUGAACAAGGAGUUACAGGUCCUCCAGGUCCACAAGGACCUGACUCGCAACGGAAAGAGAAAGGGAGUACAGUCAUAUAUGGAGAAAAGGGAGAACCAGGUGAAAAAGGAGAUCCUGGAUCGCCAGGACAGUCAGGGUCAAGUAUCAAAGGGGAAAAGGGUGAACGUGGAAAACCUGGCCCACGGGGAAAACCUGGAAAAGAUGGCGAGGAAGGACCAAAAGGAGAACGGGUAUGUGUUUCACUUGAUUUUUCAUAAAUUGCCAUUAUUAGAUAGGACUCUAUUACUGGAUGGGCCUAUUAAAUCGUACA